GAGCUGUCCGGUAAUAGAAAGAAGCUGCAGAACCCUGUUGUCUUCAUCUUUUGUUUAACUCAUGCAACAUUUGAAAGCACGUUUGCCUACAAGAAAUAAAACUUAAGUUGUGAAAUGGCUUAUUAAUGAACUCAGAUGACAAGAAACCAAAACAGCGGGCCUGGCUGAAGGAUUCAUCCCUAGCCCUGAAAGCCAGCGGGGUCUUUCUGUAACAUCAAAGGCACAAACAAUUGAACCGACAUGGGGACUUAUUCUGUCCAGCAGCCCUGGUGGCCUCAGACCAUCCGAAGCAAGGGUAACCUACCAGAAAGCUGCUAGAUGUUCCCCACUACAGUGAAGGAUUAAACAAAGAAUGAAGAAGAAGUAGGACUCAAGAAGUAAAUGAUCCAACUCAAGAAAGAGAUGACCAAGUGGAAUACCUUUUAAAGGCUUCAAGACUUUUCUUUCCCACUCCUCCCUGCCCAUGCGAGGGAGGCUCCAUUUUAAAAUGUAACACACACACACAAAAAAACGGAUUUGAAAUAAGGCAUUAGCCUGAGGUAACUUACCCCCACCUUGGCUCCAGAGCAGCUUGGAUUUCCGAUUCUUUGAGCAGGUCAGUGAUUUGGGGAACCAGUAAAAGAGCCGGGCUAUUCUUCUGAAGGUCUCAUGAAAGUCACUUCUUAUGGCCAUAGCGAGAACCAGGAGUGUUCCAGAAUGACUCGCUACAGAG
This 712-nucleotide long non-coding RNA is filed under the name Homo sapiens (human). RNAcentral describes it as "novel transcript, antisense to RASSF3". Lineage: Eukaryota; Metazoa; Chordata; Mammalia; Primates; Hominidae. The record is from RNAcentral.